CCUAUGCCUUCUGCUGUCACCCCUGUGUCACAAUCUAUUCCUGCUGCUGUUGUCACUCCUGGCUUGCAGUCUAUUCCUGCUACUGCUGUUAAACCUGGCUUACAAUCUAUUCCUGUUGCUGUCACACCUGGCUCACAACCUAUGCCUUCUGCUGUCACACCUGUGUCACAAUCUAUUACUGCUGGCCCUUCUGCACCUAUCCAAUCAAGAGGACGAGGUCGGAAGGUUCAGAGUGGAGUACAAGCACCACGACGCAGGGGAAAGAAACAGGGGUCUAUACUGUCUGCUUCUGGGAGUUUAGCAGCUCCUGAUCCAAGUACAAAUGAACAAUCACAGACUAUAUCUGUUAAUCCAUUGCUUAGUGCAACAAGUGGAACCAUUUCUAGUGUUCCUGUUGCUCAUUGUCAUAGUAAUUUACCUGGCUCUGCUGCUGUAGAAGUUAUUAGUGGACCCAAUUAUUAUGUACCAGGGAUUGCUUUGGAUUCUAAGUCAGCUCCUCCUAUCUCUUCUAUCGCUCCUGCCGCUGAAUGCCUCCCUCCUGGCCCUUCAGCUCCUAUAAAAGGGCCAAGCAGCAAUGCUCAAACUGGAGCCGGAACACCACGGCGUAGAGGGAGGAAACAAGCACCAUUAUCAUCUGCUGUUUCAGAUGCUUUUCUCAGUCAGUUUUCCAUAUCAGAUCAAGUCUCGAAGAAUAAAUCUGAGGAAUCAGGAAGUAAAGCCAUUGUCCUGACAAGUAACCAAAAGAGUUAUGAUUGUGAACCUAGAGAUGUUAACCAGGAGCAAGCAACCAGAGUAGCUGGUCAGGAUAAAAAAUCAGCAGAACAUUUGGAUGAUGCAACCCGAAAUCAGCAGCCACUCUGCUCAUCAACGUCAAAUGAUGGUGUUGCGAGACCCAUGGGCUCAUCUCCUGGACAAAUUCUAUGUGCUGAUAUGCAUGAUGUGGCUGCUGUUGCAAAGGAAUUAUCAGCUGAAAAUAGCUCUCCAAAAGCUAAUUUUGGUGAACAAGGUAAUGAUGGUGGGGUUGCCCAAAAUGUACCUGUAUUAAGUAAAACAUUUAUGGAGGUGGCUCAAAGCCAAAGCUCUGAAGACAAAGUAUCCUCUGUUGUUGGCCAUCCAACUGAGUCAUCUCCAAGUUCUGCUGCUGUAGAAGCUAUUGGAAAAUCUGUUCAUCAGGUUGCUGUAAAGAUUGCUUCCGAUUCUCAGCCUACUGCAUCUUAUCCUUCUCUCUCUCCAGCCUCACAAUCUAUCCCUUCCGAAUCCAUGCUUGUUAAAAGGCAAGGUCGAAAGGCUCCAAAUAGAGCAGAAACACCUAGGCGUAGGGGAAGGAAGCAGGGUCCAGUUUCACCUGCUGCUGAUGCUUUGGUUGUUCAGGAUCAGAAAGUGAAUCCACAAUCACAGAAUAAAUCAAGGGAUUCAUCAGGGAGUAAGGUGAUGAACUUGAGAAGUAAACAAGAGGGUGAUCUUAAUGAACCCGCAAAUAUCACUCAGGAGGCACAUUUAUCCAGUGGUUUAGUUGGCCUAGAUCCAAAAAGAAAAGAGACUAGUGGAAUUCCUGGUUUUGACCGAAUUCAGACUGCUGCUAUUACUGAUGUUGCUCGUGUGAUGAAGGAGAUUUUCUCUGAAACUUGCUCAUCAAAAAAUAAAAUGGGAGAGUCUUCUAGGAUUGAAUGUAAAAAUGCCCCAAUUGUACCUGUAGUAAGACAGACUCCUAUGGAGGUUCCAAAAAGCCAAAGCGCAGAGGAAAAAAUCCUGUCAACUGUGCCAACUUCGGAUGCUGAAACUACGGUUUCGGGGAUUUCAGUUGACAGUUGUAGACAGUCUGACCCUGGAGUUGGUGUCAUGGUGGAAGAGGGCCAUGCACCUGCUUUGGGUAAGCCAAAACUUACAGAAAAUGUAGUAGAUUCAGGACAGGUUUCUCAGAAAAACUCGAUUGCAGGUGUCAAUAAGGAGGUCGCUUGUACUGUUCCAGUUAGCAUCGGUGAAAAGGAGAUUGUUUCAUCUUCUAGACCUGCUCCUCAUGAACUCCCUGGUCCUAGUCCAGUGUCCUCUGGGAAUGAGGUUGAUUCAACACUUUCAUCUCAAGGCCCGGAAGAGCCUUCUGGGAUGACACAGGAUGAAUUAGGAAAUGAAAAAGUUCCAUCUUCAAAUGAGCUACCAAAAUCUUCUCCCCUUGAUGUUGGCAGCCUUGAGCAUCCCAAGAUUUUGGUGGGGGCUGCUGAUGCUGGUGAUUUUUCCACAGCGACUCUAUCUUCUCCAAUGGAGAUUUGUGAUAACAAUUCAAUGAAGAAAACAGAGGUUUCAGCAAAAGCACCACUUCCUUGUGUAAUUGGCAUAGAAAGCCCAACAAUUUCUGCAAAUCCUGAUGGUGUGAGUUUUGAUUCUGGUGUAAGUACACAAAUGCUUCCUAGUCCUGUUACAGAUUCUGUUUCCAGAAGAAUUCCUGUUUUGGCCAAGACUUCGUCUGGAAACAUUAUUGAGCCUUCUUCACAAGAGUCACUAGAUGCCAGAAGCAUUCAGGGUUCGACAAGUUGUGUAAAGCCUAGUGGUGUUGGUGGUCAUCCUUCAGAGUCUGGAUCAGUUUCAGCGAGUUCCUGCCAUUCAGACAAUGUGCAAUUGCCUGUCAUAACUCUAAAUGAUUCUAAAGAUGAAAUACAGCCUUCUUCAAAAGAGUCUCCAGAACCUGGUGCUCAGCUGCCUUCUAAAGAAUCUCCAGAACUUUGUGCUCUUGGUAUUAAAAGCUCUUCAACUUCUGGAACACCUAAUGCUUUGGGUGAUCAUCCUCCAGUACCUAGGUCUAUUUCUGGAAAUCAAGAUAAUUUAAGUAAUGUUGAGGUUGAAGGUAUUUCUGACAGGUCUGACAUACAUGCUACGGCAGACAAAGCUGCGGUUUUCAUAGGUGAAACUGGUGUUGAAUUUCCAGAAGCUUCCAAGAAGACCAACAAUCUUGGAGCUGAUCUCCUGCAUGGUGUUGUAACUACUGGUUGUAAUACUGAUACUUUUUGCAAGGCUUUCACUGACCAUGAUAAAUUUGAAGAUCUAUCCAUCCAGAUUAAAGAUAAAAGGGAUCCUUUGUCAGAACCUUCGCAGUCAGUCACUUCUGAGUGUAAUUAUGUGGAGGUUAUUGCACAAGAUCAUGGUGUGAUGCAACUACCGCUAGCUGUUAAAAGUAGUGAGGGUGAUCAUGUAGAGGUUUGCAAUAUGGAAGUAGAUCCCUCAAAAAUACAAGAGCUGCCUCCAAAAGAUUUUGUUACGACAUCUUCCAGCGUACAAGGUGUUUCAGAAGGCACUAGUGGAAUGCAACUGCCUCGUGGAAGCACCGAGGGUGGUCGCCUUGAGGUUUGUAAUGUGGAAGAGCAAAUAUCUUUGCCAGAAUUUACUGUUUCUGAAUCUGCAGAUGUAGGGAAAGAUAAUAGUGGAGCUGAGGUACAGCCAGAGGUUGGAAGUAGUAAGGGUGAACGUGUAGCUGGUUGCAAUGCAGAAGCAAACUUGUCUGAAGCACUUGCAUCAUUGCCAAAUGAUAUUGCCGCCAAAUCUACCGAUGCAGAGGACAUUCAUCAAAUGGAGGUUUUGCAGUUUGACAGGGUUGUACUGCAAAAUAUUUCUGAAAGUACUCUUCCUUCAUCUUACCUGGUGGUAGAGGAAGAGAAAGUAGAUGACAAACGUGAGAAGAGCUCACUAGCAGAGGGGGAAACACGAGGAUCUGAAGCAAAAAUGGUUAAUGAGGGGGAUGUCUCUCGAGUUGGUGGGAUUUUUCCUGGAGAUGUACUAGAAAAUAUGGUUUUAUCUUCUUCUCCAUUGACAAUGGAGGAAGAAAAGAGCAAAGUAUUCUUUGAGCAGGGUUUAUCUGGCAAUGCAAUAACACCAGAAGAAUCAAAAAGUUCUGAAACCGAAAUUAUUCAUCAAAUGGAUGUAUCCCAUGAUAUUGUUGAGCAACUGAUUACACCAGCAAAUUUCAUUUUAUCUUCGGCUUCCUUGGCUAGUGAAGAGGAAAAGAUGAAAAGCACAUGUGAGAAGGGUCUAGUUCUCAGCCCAGUACUAGAGGAAUUAAAAGGAUCUGAAGCUGAAAAUUGUUAUCAAAUGGGUGUAUCUGAGGUUCGUUCAAGUGUGCCUGAAUAUACAUCGGCAAAAAUGAAUGUUCCAUCAUCUUCUUUGGCAAUGGAGGAAGACAAGGCUGAUGACUUAUCUGACAAGGGUCUAUUUUGCAGCUUAGUAGUACCAGCAGAAUCAAAAGGAUCUGAUAUUGAAAAGAACAAUGAAAUAAAUGUUUCUCAGGUUGGUGAGGUUGUGCCUGAAAAUAUAUCAGCAAAUAUGGUUUUGUCUUUGUCUUCCUGUGCCCCAGAGGGUGACAAAAUUGAAGGCUUAUCUGAAAUGAACAAAAGUGGCAGCUCGGCAGCUGGGGAACCAAAAGGAUCUGAAACUGAGAAAAGCAAUGCCCUGGAGGAUGACAAAUGCGAAGGCUUAACUGAGAUGAACAGAAGUAGCAUAUCAGCAGCUGAGGAACCAAAACUAUCUGAAACUGAGAAAAGCAAUGUUCUGGAGGAUGACAAUUGCGAAGGCUUAUCUGAGAUGAACAAAAGUAGCAGCUCAGCAGCAGAGGAAUGUGAAGGCUUAUCUGAGAUGAACAAAAGUAGCAGCUCAGCAGCAGAGGAAUGU
RNAcentral lists this unclassified non-coding RNA (4653 nucleotides) under Hevea brasiliensis (rubber tree). Lineage: Eukaryota; Viridiplantae; Streptophyta; Magnoliopsida; Malpighiales; Euphorbiaceae. The record is from RNAcentral.